CCUACGGGUGGCUGCAGUGAGGAAUAUUGGUCAAUGGGCGCGAGCCUGAACCAGCCAAGUAGCGUGAAGGAUGACUGCCCUACGGGUUGUAAACUUCUUUUAUAAGGGAAUAAAGUGAGGCACGUGUGCCUUUUUGUAUGUAUUUUAUGAAUAAGGAUCGGCUAACUCCGUGCCAGCAGCCGCGGUAAUACGGAGGAUCCGAGCGUUAUCCGGAUUUAUUGGGUUUAAAGGGAGCGUAGUUGGGUUGUUAAGUCAGUUGUGAAAGUUUGCGGCUCAACCGUAAAAUUGCAAUUGAUACUGGCAGCCUUGAGUACAGUUGAGGUAGGCGGAAUUCGUGGUGUAGCGGUGAAAUGCUUAGAGAUCAUACAGAACACCGAUUGCGAAGGCAGCUUACUAAACUAUAACUGACGUUGAGGCACGAAAGCGUGGGUAGCAAACAGGAUUAGAUACCCUGGUAGUC
This 460-nucleotide ribosomal RNA is filed under the name uncultured bacterium. RNAcentral describes it as "partial 16S ribosomal RNA". It matches the Rfam family "Bacterial small subunit ribosomal RNA", at positions 338 to 795 of the family's 1533-position model. The record is from RNAcentral.